UCAAUAUUCUAUAUAAGCCUGUGCAUUUUAUAUUUAUUCACAUACCUAUCUAACUCGUGUAACGAGUGUGUGGCGAGUAUGUGACACGGAUAAUCAGUCAGACAUAUAAUUAUCGAUACAGUUGGUGAGACGUUUACGUAAUAAUGAAAUGAAUCGUCUACAAAAUAUAGGAAGAAUAAUCGACACUAUAGUGACGGAAAGCAUAAAAUAUGGAAAAACAUCGGAAGUGUCGUGUCGGAGAAUCCAGGAUAAAAAUAGCAACUGCACAAUGCAUAGGUCAAUAUCAGAGGGAUUUUUGUCGCUUGGCAGGAAACUGGGAAAAAAGUGAAAACAUGUUUUACCAUAGUUACAAUGAGACGACCAUAUUUCGAUUUAAAUUCCAAUGGAUUUUUGAGACUGCUGAUAUAUUGUAAAA
Polistes dominula (European paper wasp) is the source of this 415-nucleotide long non-coding RNA. Lineage: Eukaryota; Metazoa; Arthropoda; Insecta; Hymenoptera; Vespidae. The record is from RefSeq and is a predicted model, not a curated record.